Molecule: non-coding RNA, 183 nt
Filed under: Thermosipho africanus
Lineage: Bacteria; Thermotogati; Thermotogota; Thermotogae; Thermotogales; Fervidobacteriaceae
Source: RNAcentral
UAUAAUGUUAACACCUUGGGUACCAAAGCGGUUUAAAAGGGAACGCCGGUGAAAGGCCGGGGCUGCCCAGCAACCGUAACCGGGGACGAAAUCCACAGAAUGCCACUGGGAGUAUUUCCUGGGAAGGCGUGGAGAGUAGGUUGAUCCGGGAGCCGGGAGACCUGCCUAAGGUGUAACAAUUCC